GGGGAAAUGAAUCCAAGAUCGUGUGCCUAACACACACAUUCGCAAGUUCGCCCCUAUGGAAUGCAAUUCUCUCCCCCAACUAAACAAUGCAGUGUCCUCAAUGCUAACAGAGACGAAAAACAAUACAAAGAGAAACAAACAACGCAAAAAAUAAAAGAAAAAAUAAAUAAACAAAUAAACAACACAAGAAAUAAACAAAGAAAAUAAAUAGAUAAAUAAACAAAGGAAAGC
Long non-coding RNA from Juglans microcarpa x Juglans regia, 231 nucleotides. RefSeq lists it as uncharacterized. The record is from RefSeq and is a predicted model, not a curated record. NCBI's taxonomy places the organism in Eukaryota, Viridiplantae, Streptophyta, Magnoliopsida, Fagales, Juglandaceae. The transcript is spliced from 3 exons.